Molecule: long non-coding RNA, 455 nt
Organism: Gorilla gorilla gorilla (western lowland gorilla)
Lineage: Eukaryota; Metazoa; Chordata; Mammalia; Primates; Hominidae
Exons: 3
Source: RefSeq, a predicted model, not a curated record
UUGAAUUUCAAUCUCAAGUUCUGAAUUUUAAGGUCAGGAUGGAGCUUGGUUCUUUUUGAAAUCGACAUUAUCUCUGCUCAGAGAAACAAAGGAACAAUCUAGUACUGUCACAAUAUUACUAGGAAUAAUCUUGAUGAGAAGGACUUUUUUUAAAGUCCAGUUACUAUAACACAAGCUUAAGGAUGAGGAAACCCAGACAGGAAUACUGAGUGGGUGUGAUCUAUAUUGAGCCAUGAGGUUACUGGCAGGGAGUUGUUGACUGCAGUAGAACUGGUCCGAGGUUGGCCAAGAUGCAACAGGUCGUUACACAGCAGCCUUCAGAGAAUUACCAGGUAUCCACAAGACACCUCAGGAGAUCUCCACAUUCCCAGUGGAAGAUCAUCGCUCAUGUCUUAACUCAGGUUCUGAAGUCACAACAAAGAAAAAUUUUGAAUGGGACACGCUGAUUUAAAUAA